RNAcentral lists this ribosomal RNA (253 nucleotides) under uncultured bacterium. Its description in RNAcentral is "partial 16S ribosomal RNA". It matches the Rfam family "Bacterial small subunit ribosomal RNA", at positions 524 to 776 of the family's 1533-position model. The record is from RNAcentral.
GACGGAGGGUGCAAGCGUUGUUCGGAAUUACUGGGCGUAAAGGGCGCGUAGGCGGUUUGCUAAGUUCGGUGUGAAAUCCCCCGGCUCACCCGGGGAAUUGCGCCGGAAACUGGCAGACUCGAGUACCGGAGAGGAGGGUGGAAUUCCUGGAGUAGCGGUGAAAUGCGUAGAUAUCAGGAGGAACACCGGUGGCGAAGGCGGCCCUCUGGACGAGUACUGACGCUGAGGCGCGAAAGCGUGGGGAUCAAACAGG